GAUGAACGCUGGCGGCGUGCCUAAUACAUGCAAGUCGAGCGAACGGACGAGAAGCUUGCUUCUCUGAUGUUAGCGGCGGACGGGUGAGUAACACGUGGAUAACCUACCUAUAAGACUGGGAUAACUUCGGGAAACCGUAGCUAAUACCGGAUAAUAUUUUGAACCGCAUGGUUCAAAAGUGAAAGACGGUCUUGCUGUCACUUAUAGAUGGAUCCGCGCUGCAUUAGCUAGUUGGUAAGGUAACGGCUUACCAAGGCAACGAUGCAUAGCCGACCUGAGAGGGUGAUCGGCCACACUGGAACUGAGACACGGUCCAGACUCCUACGGGAGGCAGCAGUAGGGAAUCUUCCGCAAUGGGCGAAAGCCUGACGGAGCAACGCCGCGUGAGUGAUGAAGGUCUUCGGAUCGUAAAACUCUGUUAUUAGGGAAGAACAUAUGUGUAAGUAACUCUGCACAUCUUGACGGUACCUAAUCAGAAAGCCACGGCUAACUACGUG
Molecule: ribosomal RNA, 497 nt
Filed under: uncultured bacterium
Lineage: Bacteria
Description: partial 16S ribosomal RNA
Rfam family: Bacterial small subunit ribosomal RNA
Source: RNAcentral